RNAcentral lists this ribosomal RNA (253 nucleotides) under uncultured prokaryote. Its description in RNAcentral is "partial 16S ribosomal RNA". It matches the Rfam family "Bacterial small subunit ribosomal RNA", at positions 525 to 777 of the family's 1533-position model. The record is from RNAcentral.
ACGGAGGGUGCAAGCGUUAAUCGGAAUUACUGGGCGUAAAGCGCGCGUAGGCGGCUUGAUAAGUCGGAUGUGAAAUCCCUGGGCUCAACCUGGGAACUGCAUUCGAUACUGUCUGGCUAGAGUGUGGGAGAGGGUGGUGGAAUUCCCGGUGUAGCGGUGAAAUGCGUAGAUAUCGGGAGGAACAUCAGUGGCGAAGGCGACCGCCUGGCCCAACACUGACGCUGAGGUGCGAAAGCGUGGGUAGCAAACAGGA